AUUUAUAAACUAGCCUUAUUCCAUGGAACUCUAAAUAUUUAAUGCUUCACAUAUAUCAUUUGACUUUUCUGCAUGUGUCAUUAAGAUAGGAGAAAGUGUCCCCUACAGAUAAGGAAAAUGAUGUUAAGACAAAACUGACAACACCUGAAUCAAGUCUCCAGAUAGCCCCAUACUCUUUCCUUCCAAUUAUACUUGCUGCCUUGCUAGUGGUAAGCAAUGAUAACGUAGACAGUAUUAUGUCAUCAAUUAGAGAGUCUCACUUAGCUUGAUAUAAUCAGUUUUUAUUUAAAAAUGAGAGCUUUCCAUGCAAACUGUUUUUCUAUCUUCUAAAAGGCUUGUGACUAAAACUUCACUGACAAGUUUUUCAGGUGAGAUGAGUGUAGGUUAACUACUGAGCAGCCAGAGUCUAGUCAGGCCCCUCACACUUUCCAGUGCUACAAGAAGAUGAGCAGAUGUGGGGUUAGAUGUGGAACCCAGGUUCAUAGCUGUACCUGCCAACCCUAACCUAGAGAAGGGAAGAGAACACUGAUGGUAACCAUGGCAACAGUAACAAUGCUACACAUCUAUCACUUAUUGAUUAUCUAACAAAGUCUUAAAAUAUCAAGUAAUGUAAGCAAAGAACAAUUCAGUGAAAUUUUAGCAAAGGUUAGGCAAAUUUUAUAUGGUCAAGAUAGUACAUUUGCAAACAAGUAGAAGACCUUGUCAAAAAUCUAAAUCUUCUAAUAUCCAGUAACUCUCUUGUCUGAGCCAAU
RNAcentral lists this long non-coding RNA (752 nucleotides) under Homo sapiens (human). RNAcentral's name for it is "HSALNT0059023". The record is from RNAcentral. Lineage: Eukaryota; Metazoa; Chordata; Mammalia; Primates; Hominidae.